RNAcentral lists this unclassified non-coding RNA (316 nucleotides) under uncultured Tomentella. RNAcentral's name for it is "sequence contains 5.8S rRNA gene". Lineage: Eukaryota; Fungi; Basidiomycota; Agaricomycetes; Thelephorales; Thelephoraceae. The record is from RNAcentral.
GAACGCACCUUGCACCCUUUGGUAUUCCGAAGGGUAUGCUCGUUUGAGUAUCAUGAACACCUCAACUCUCAUGGUUUGCCAUGAUGAGCUUGGACUUUGGGGGUCUUGCUGGCCUAUGGUCGGCUCCUCUCAAAUGAAUCAGCUUACCAGUGUUUGGUGGCGUCACAGGUGUGAUAACUAUCUACGCUUGUGGCUUUCCAUCAGGUAACCUUCAGCGAUGGAGGUUUGCUGGGGCUCAUAAAUGUCUCUCCUCAGCGAGGACAGCUUUUUUGAACGUUUGAUCUCAAAUCAGGUAGGACUACCCGCUGAACUUAAG